GAUAAGGAGCUUGCUCCUUUGACGUUAGCGGCGGACGGGUGAGUAACACGUGGGUAACCUACCUAUAAGACUGGGAUAACUUCGGGAAACCGGAGCUAAUACCGGAUAACAUUUGGAACCGCAUGGUUCUAAAGUGAAAGAUGGUUUUGCUAUCACUUAUAGAUGGACCCGCGCCGUAUUAGCUAGUUGGUAAGGUAACGGCUUACCAAGGCAACGAUACGUAGCCGACCUGAGAGGGUGAUCGGCCACACUGGAACUGAGACACGGUCCAGACUCCUACGGGAGGCAGCAGUAGGGAAUCUUCCGCAAUGGGCGAAAGCCUGACGGAGCAACGCCGCGUGAGUGAUGAAGGGUUUCGGCUCGUAAAACUCUGUUAUUAGGGAAGAACAAACGUGUAAGUAACUAUGCACGUCUUGACGGUACCUAAUCAGAAAGCCACGGCUAACUACGUGCCAGCAGCCGCGGUAAUACGUAGGUGGCAAGCGUUAUCCGGAAUUAUUGGGCGUAAAGCGCGCGUAGGCGGUUUCUUAAGUCUGAUGUGAAAGCCCACGGCUCAACCGUGGAGGGUCAUUGGAAACUGGGAAACUUGAGUGCAGAAGAGGAAAGUGGAAUUCCAUGUGUAGCGGUGAAAUGCGCAGAGAUAUGGAGGAACACCAGUGGCGAAGGCGACUUUCUGGUCUGUAACUGACGCUGAUGUGCGAAAGCGUGGGGAUCAAACAGGAUUAGAUACCCUGGUAGUCCACGCCGUAAACGAUGAGUGCUAAGUGUUAGGGGGUUUCCGCCCCUUAGUGCUGCAGCUAACGCAUUAAGCACUCCGCCUGGGGAGUACGACCGCAAGGUUGAAACUCAAAGGAAUUGACGGGGACCCGCACAAGCGGUGGAGCAUGUGGUUUAAUUCGAAGCAACGCGAAGAACCUUACCAAAUCUUGACAUCCUUUGAAAACUCUAGAGAUAGAGCCUUCCCCUUCGGGGGACAAAGUGACAGGUGGUGCAUGGUUGUCGUCAGCUCGUGUCGUGAGAUGUUGGGUUAAGUCCCGCAACGAGCGCAACCCUUAAGCUUAGUUGCCAUCAUUAAGUUGGGCACUCUAGGUUGACUGCCGGUGACAAACCGGAGGAAGGUGGGGAUGACGUCAAAUCAUCAUGCCCCUUAUGAUUUGGGCUACACACGUGCUACAAUGGACAAUACAAAGGGCAGCUAAACCGCGAGGUCAUGCAAAUCCCAUAAAGUUGUUCUCAGUUCGGAUUGUAGUCUGCAACUCGACUACAUGAAGCUGGAAUCGCUAGUAAUCGUAGAUCAGCAUGCUACGGUGAAUACGUUCCCGGGUCUUGUACACACCGCCCGUCACACCACGAGAGUUUUAACACCCGAAGCCGGUGGAGUAACCAU
This 1387-nucleotide ribosomal RNA is filed under the name Leuconostoc lactis. Its description in RNAcentral is "bacterial SSU rRNA". It matches the Rfam family "Bacterial small subunit ribosomal RNA", at positions 70 to 1442 of the family's 1533-position model. The record is from RNAcentral. Lineage: Bacteria; Bacillati; Bacillota; Bacilli; Lactobacillales; Lactobacillaceae.